Non-coding RNA from Caenorhabditis elegans, 21 nucleotides. The record is from Ensembl. NCBI's taxonomy places the organism in Eukaryota, Metazoa, Nematoda, Chromadorea, Rhabditida, Rhabditidae.
UACGAUGAGUGACUUCACAUA